CCCUGGAGCUUACAAAAUUCCUUCUAUCAAUGCUGUUCCAUUGAAAUUCAAUGUCUCACUUCUAAAGGCCAUCCACUCAUCUAAAGCUGUUGGCGAGCCUCCGUUUUUCCUAGCAUCGGCAGUGUUCUUCGCCAUCAAGGACGCGAUCAGAGCUGCAAGACUUGAAGUGGGAUGGAGUGAUUGGUUUCCUCUUGAUAAUCCAGCAACUCCUGAGAGAAUUCGGAUGGCUUGUUUAGAUGACAUUGCAUCCUCAACUUAUUAACUCAGAUUUUCAUCCCAAACAUCGUGUUUGACACUGCACUUAUUCGCUUGUUCAUUUUCUUAUUCACAGCAUGUCAACAUACAAAGAAUGGAGCAGGAAAUGUAUAUGUACACUUAAUUUGUUACAUCAAAUAAAUGCCACUUCCCCUUUAUUAUACACACCUGAGAUCUUCAAAGUUAAAUCAUGUGCUCAAAUCAAAGUAUGUCUCAACUAUCACUUCAUACAUUAUGAUGCAUCAAUUGUGGCAUGACAUCAAGGACUCUCAUGUAUUGCUUAUUAUAAAUCUCUCAUAUAUUGUUUAAUGUAGGGAAUGCUGUAUUUUACAAAUCUUUAUAAAUAAUAGGGCUAUAAAAAAUUUUGUA
Molecule: non-coding RNA, 624 nt
Organism: Arachis ipaensis
Lineage: Eukaryota; Viridiplantae; Streptophyta; Magnoliopsida; Fabales; Fabaceae
Source: RefSeq, a predicted model, not a curated record